UUCCUAGUUCAUUUAUCUAUUAUGCCCUUCGUUACCGUCCUCCGUUCCCGUGUGGCUUCGGUUUCUCCUCUGUGCAUCGAAGUUCGAAGAACGAACGAGACAAGCAAUUAGUUACUCAGAGUCACCGAAAGCCUUCUUCUUUCUAUUAUCAGAUUCAGAUCGGAGAAUUGUUGAAUUCUAGCUUCUCUUUCAUGCGCGGAUAGUUUCCAAAAUACCUUUUCUAAGUAUUUAACAUGGAGCGGAUCAUCGGCGGCAAGUACAAGCUCGGCCGCAAGAUCGGGAGCGGAUCCUUCGGUGAAAUUUACCUCGCUACUCAUGUCGAUACUUUUGAGAUAGUCGCGGUUAAAAUUGAGAACACUAAAACUAAGCAUCCACAACUGCUCUAUGAGGCAAAACUGUAUCAUGUUCUUCAAGGAGGAAAUGGAAUUCCUAGCAUAAGGUGGUCUGGUAUAGACCGGGAGGACAAUGUGCUAGUUCUUGAUUUGCUGGGACCCAGUCUUGAAGAUCUCUUUGUGUAUUGUGGAAGAAAGUUUUCGUUGAAGACUGUAUUAAUGUUGGCUGAUCAGAUGAUCGCUAGAAUAGAAUAUGUUCAUUCUAAGGGUUUUCUACAUAGAGAUAUAAAACCUGAUAACUUUCUCAUGGGACUUGGGCGGAAGGCCAAUCAGGUUUACGUAAUUGACUUUGGGCUUGCAAAACGAUAUCGGGAUCCCACAACCAAAAGUCAUAUUCCUUACCGGGAGAACAAAAACUUAACAGGUACUGCACGUUAUGCAAGUUGUAAUACUCACCUUGGCAUUGAGCAAGGCCGCCGGGAUGACUUGGAGUCACUAGGAUAUGUGCUUCUGUACUUCCUUAGAGGAAGUCUUCCUUGGCAAGGUCUAAAGGCUGCAACAAAGAAGCAAAAGUAUGAUAAAAUAUGCGAAAAGAAAGUAUCAACUCCUAUUGAGGUCCUAAGCAAAUCUCAUCCUGUAGAGUUUGCUUCAUACUUUCAUUAUUGCCACUCUUUGACAUUUGACCAGCGACCUGAUUAUGGGUUUUUGAAGCGUCUUUUCCGGGACCUAUUUGCUCGACAAGGUUUUGAAUUUGAUUAUGUGUUUGAUUGGACCAUUUUAAAGUACCAACAGACACAGAAGGUUAAAGUUCAGCCUCACACAUCUCCAGCUCCUGGAGCACGCAGAAGUCAGGCAAUGCCAACGGUUGUUGACAAUUCCCAUGGUGUUUAUGCUUAUUCAGGGGAUGUAUCGGAGCACAUUAGAUCUGGCAAUGCUACUGGUUCUGGUGUUAAGAUGCAGUUUAAAUCAACAGCAGGAAAAAAUGUGGGUGUUGGUAAUCCUGUUGAAAAGAAUAUUUUUGAAGAAGCAAAAAUGCCUUCUACUUCAUAUUCACAUGCUGGUACCUCAAAAAGGAAAUUCCUGAAGCCCGCCUUGACCACUGAAGCUGCAAACCCUGUUCGUGGCCAAGGCAGUAAGAUUGGUCCUUCAAGUAGCUGGAUUUCAUCUCUGCAACGCAUAUCUUCUGCCAAAUGAAUGAUCUAUAUGCUUUGAAUCAGGUCAUGAAGACUCAGCAUAUAUUUGAAGCUGCAAAUGUGUGGAUUCGGCGUAUAUUCCUCAAAUGGCUGUUAAAAAAAAUAUUUUGGUGAUCAAUUGAUGGAGACUGUAACUGUGCGGCAAAGAUGAUAAAUUGCAUCAAUUCUCCUUUAAGACCACACGCUACUUUCGGACUGCAAAUAAUUGGUCAUUAUAAGAAAUAUAGACUGCUCUGGCUUGGCUUCUGUGCUGUACAUAUAUUUGAAACGUGGACCACCAUGAUCCUGUUGCUGUGUAUUCAUCUCUUUAUGUAACAUUAAUUGACCAGGUUCUCAAGAAUAUAAACAAUACCAAUUCUGAGGCAAAAGUUUUGGUUGAAAGAUCUCUGAAAUAAUGGUUUUCUGAGAAAUAUCAAAGGUGCACAUACUCUGACACUUGGCCUGUUUAAUUUGUAUCUUCACUCUCGAGACCAAUGAAUAGAGGCUGGGUUUAUUUCAGCCAAGUUCAAGGAUUUUCUGUGCCAGAUUGGAUUGUCGUUUAACUGCUUUAUGAGGUCUGGGGCUUUGUAAUGAGCAUAACAGCUGUUUUUGGCAUGAACGCUGGUUGCCACAGUGCUUCUAAAGGGUUCCCAAACUCCCCCUCAGUGCUGAUCUGGGCAACUCUCAGGGGGCAAGCAAUGAGCAAGAUUCAGUUUUUAUGGUGAUCAUUACUCUUAGAUUAGCUGGUGCUUGGGGAUCCGUUGAUGCAUACGAAGUAAAGUAAACUCGGAAGACAACCCAGCCUAUCCCAUACUAGCUUAUCAUGUUGAAGAAGUGGUUGAUGACUUGAUGGAAAGGCGUACGGCUUAUUCGGAGGGUUUUUUGGCUAUUCAAGUCCAAGUCAGUACAAUUUCAGACGCAGCAUAUUUCCUUGCUCGUAAAAAAAAAUUUUGGGUCAAAUACCUGCUUGUAAAAUAAAUUGUAAGCCAAAUUUGAAAGCAACUACCAUACGGGUGUCAAUGACCUAAGUUGCAUAAAGAUUUACCAAGAGCUUGUGGUUUAAUCUUCCCUAUAAUUCCAAAGAGAGAGGGAAAAAAAAAAUACUAAUAGACGGUUGUUUCAGUUUAAAGUCACUGUUGAUAAUUAAAA
Molecule: RNA transcript, 2653 nt
Organism: Neltuma alba
Lineage: Eukaryota; Viridiplantae; Streptophyta; Magnoliopsida; Fabales; Fabaceae
Gene name: casein kinase 1-like protein 3
Exons: 19
Source: RefSeq, a predicted model, not a curated record